GUGCAUUUUAUUUCUUUCUUUGUCAUUUACGGAGCAAUUUGGUUUAUUGUAACUGGCGAACUUAAUUUCAACUGCAGUUUUAAAUUUAAAAAGUUUUUUUUAUUGAAUUGAAAUUGACCAACUGCAGGAAGUUAUUGACUCCUUAGACAUGCUAGAAACUUUUUUAAAGGAAGAUUAAACCAUGUAACUUAUUUUAAAAUAUAUAAGACUACUGUCUUUGAAAACAGUAAAUUUCCUCAGUUAAUGAAAAUUGGUGUCAAUAAAAUUGAUUAAUUCACAGUAUUUCAGUGUAGUCUCCUUGAAUGGGCAUUAUUAUUAGUUCUAGUUCUUAU
This 332-nucleotide long non-coding RNA is filed under the name Mytilus galloprovincialis (Mediterranean mussel). The record is from RNAcentral. Lineage: Eukaryota; Metazoa; Mollusca; Bivalvia; Mytilida; Mytilidae.